ACUACUGGGACAGUUUUUUGUGCUAAAAAGACUAAACUGUCUUCAACUUAAACAUUUUCUUGUUGUUGCACGUGAGUUUGAAGUUAAAUUUAGUUUGUGUUUUUUCUCACGUCCGAUCUCAUCUUCUCUCUCUAUUCUUCUGGUCUGAACAAACAAUAAAGCUAUGUUUCUCUCCAUAUCAAUCCUUCUGUGUCCUGGAUCUUAUAUCCUAAACGUGAAAAGAGACAGUUAAUUUAUGACAGCGGAAAAUAUAUGGUCGGGAUCGGAGUUUCUUCAAAAUUCCGUUUCGAAACUCUUUUUCUGGGUGGAUCGGUUCACAGUCAGCACCCAAUACCUUCCCCUCCAAUCAUAAGUUGCAUAAUUUCUACCUACAAAACACCGAUUAAAGUUUGAUCCUUCUGAGAAACUCUUUGUUCUUUGUUACUAAUUUUGUUUGAAGAUGAGCCUGGGAAACAAGUGAAGAUGAGCCUCUGAAAGGUGAAUGGGUGGGCUACACACAGAGUUGUGACCAUUUACUUAUCGAAAAUGUAUACAUAUGUACACAUAUCAAUCGGUACACGUGUACAUUGUUGUAAUUUAAUGCACAUGUACGCCACUAUAAACGCAGUCCACAAAAUUCUUUACUUGAAUAAAAGUCAUUCUUACUGCGGUU
Raphanus sativus (radish) is the source of this 652-nucleotide long non-coding RNA. RefSeq lists it as uncharacterized. The transcript has 2 exons. NCBI's taxonomy places the organism in Eukaryota, Viridiplantae, Streptophyta, Magnoliopsida, Brassicales, Brassicaceae. The record is from RefSeq and is a predicted model, not a curated record.